RNAcentral lists this ribosomal RNA (291 nucleotides) under uncultured bacterium. Its description in RNAcentral is "partial 16S ribosomal RNA". It matches the Rfam family "Bacterial small subunit ribosomal RNA", at positions 337 to 619 of the family's 1533-position model. The record is from RNAcentral.
CCCUACGGGAGGCAGCAGUAGGGAAUCUUCCACAAUGGACGAAAGUCUGAUGGAGCAACGCCGCGUGAGUGAAGAAGGGUUUCGGCUCGUAAAGCUCUGUUGGUAGUGAAGAAAGAUAGAGGUAGUAACUGGCCUUUAUUUGACGGUAAUUACUUAGAAAGUCACGGCUAACUACGUGCCAGCAGCCGCGGUAAUACGUAGGUGGCAAGCGUUGUCCGGAUUUAUUUGGCGUAAAGCGAGUGCAGGCGGUUCCAAAAGACUUAUGUGAAAAGCCUCCGCCCCACCCGGGGA